RNAcentral lists this ribosomal RNA (429 nucleotides) under Verrucomicrobiota bacterium. RNAcentral's name for it is "Verrucomicrobia bacterium partial 16S ribosomal RNA". It matches the Rfam family "Bacterial small subunit ribosomal RNA", at positions 355 to 776 of the family's 1533-position model. The record is from RNAcentral. Lineage: Bacteria; Pseudomonadati; Verrucomicrobiota.
UAGGGAAUCUUCGGCAAUGGGGGGAACCCUGACCGAGCAACGCCGCGUGAGUGAAGAAGGUUUUCGGAUCGUAAAGCUCUGUUGUUAAGGAAGAACGAGUGUGAGAAUGGAAAGUUCAUGCUGUGACGGUACUUAACCAGAAAGGGACGGCUAACUACGUGCCAGCAGCCGCGGUAAUACGUAGGUCCCGAGCGUUGUCCGGAUUUAUUGGGCGUAAAGCGAGCGCAGGCGGUUAGAAAAGUCUGAAGUGAAAGGCAGUGGCUCAACCAUUGUAGGCUUUGGAAACUGUUUAACUUGAGUGCAGAAGGGGAGAGUGGAAUUCCAUGUGUAGCGGUGAAAUGCGUAGAUAUUGGGAGGAACACCAGUAGCGAAGGCGGCUUUCUGGACUGCAACUGACACUGAGGCACGAAAGCGUGGGUAGCAAACAGG